RNAcentral lists this ribosomal RNA (253 nucleotides) under uncultured bacterium. Its description in RNAcentral is "partial 16S ribosomal RNA". It matches the Rfam family "Bacterial small subunit ribosomal RNA", at positions 524 to 776 of the family's 1533-position model. The record is from RNAcentral.
UACGUAGGGACCGAGCGUUGUCCGGAAUCAUUGGGCGUAAAGAGCGUGUAGGCGGCUUGUUAAGUCUUGCGUGAAAUCUCGGGGCUCAACCCCGAGCGGUCGUGAGAAACUGGCAGGCUAGAGUGCGGGAGAGGAGAGUGGAAUUCCUGGUGUAGCGGUGAAAUGCGUAGAUAUCAGGAGGAAUACCGAUGGCGAAGGCAGGUCUCUGGGCUGACACUGACGCUCAUGCACGAAAGCGUGGGGAGCAAACAGG